Molecule: ribosomal RNA, 468 nt
Filed under: uncultured bacterium
Lineage: Bacteria
Description: partial 16S ribosomal RNA
Rfam family: Bacterial small subunit ribosomal RNA
Source: RNAcentral
GACGAACGCUGGCGGCGUGCCUAACACAUGCAAGUCGAACGGAAAGGCCCUGCUUUUGUGGGGUGCUCGAGUGGCGAACGGGUGAGUAACACGUGAGUAACCUGCCCUUGACUUUGGGAUAACUUCACGAAACUGGGGCUACUAUCGGAUAGGAGCUCCUGCUGCAUGGUGGGGGUUGGAAAGUUUCGGCGGUCGGGGAUGGACUCGCGGCUUAUCAGCUUGCUGGUGGGGUAGUGGCUUACCAAGGCUUUGACGGGUAGCCGGCCUGAGAGGGUGACCGGCCACCUUGGGACUGAGGGACGGCCCAGACUGCUACGGGGGGCAACAGUGGGAAGUAUUGCACAGUGGGCGGGCGCCUGAUGCGGAGGCGCCGCGUGCGUAAUGACGGCCUUCGGGUUAUGAACCGCUUUCGCCUGUUACGAAGCGUGAGUGACGGUAAUGGAUGAAGAAGCACCGGCUAACUACGUG